GGGGGCGACAGGCUUUCGACUGGGACAUCGGAGGAGUAAGACUUCAGGCAGGGCUGAGCAACCCUUUAAAGGCUCAAAACUAUAACUGCGAACGAAAGUUACGCAUUAGCCGCGUAACGCGGCAACCUGUUACUCGCCUUUUCUCCCGGGGCGUUUAAUGGGUAAAAACUAGGGAGAUAGUCCUUGUGGCGCCGAUAAACAGGGGCGAAACACUUCGGCUAGGGGGAUCACGGUCUGUCAGGCCUUCCUGAAAUCCCCGACAAAACAAAGACCGGACCAAGCCUGUGGAUAAGGUUUUAUUUUUCUGGUUUCAGGACGCGGGUUCGAUUCCCGCCGCCUCCAUUG
Molecule: transfer-messenger RNA, 345 nt
Filed under: Brevinematales
Lineage: Bacteria; Pseudomonadati; Spirochaetota; Spirochaetia
Also listed under: 1 other name
Description: GWF1-51-8 sp001829395 Standard tmRNA
Rfam family: transfer-messenger RNA
About the family: Bacterial tmRNA, also known as 10Sa RNA or SsrA, is named for its dual tRNA and mRNA-like properties. Its role is to liberate the mRNA from a stalled ribosome. To accomplish this part of the tmRNA is used as a reading frame that ends in a translation stop signal.
Source: RNAcentral